UGAGACAUGUAGUGCUUGGGUAAUUUCAGACAUCUUUAAAUCGUUUAAACGUAUUAAAAUAUGUAACGAAGGACAUUUUUUUCCCUUUGAUGAAUCGAAAUAACAUCUCGCAAGAUUUAAAAAGAUUAAAAUUCCAAUGAGGUCGACUUAUUGCCAAUGCAAGAAUUUAUUAGACCAAGGAGACUUUUCUCGGGAUGUUUCUCUACCUUUAAGAAAGCUGUGAGCAUGAAGAUGGACCAUGAUAUCGUAUUUGCAACCAUAAGAGAUUACAGCCUAACUGAAAGCUACAUGCAAAAAUCUAAUCGACUAAGUCUACACACAUCGCGAGGAAACUUGUAUUAAAGAUCCAGUACAUCUUCCCAAGUGAAAUUAAACUGCUGCAAACGGAUAUGAUUGAAGGAAAAAGAAGUUAAUCGGCCUUCAAUUCUUAAUAUGAUGCUCUGAACUGGAAAACGUAUCAACUAAUUUGCUGCUUUUUUCUUUGUAUUCCACGUAGCCCACAGAUGCCCAUCAAUAAAAUAAAAUUAUCAAUUCUUCUGUA
Molecule: long non-coding RNA, 541 nt
Organism: Argiope bruennichi
Lineage: Eukaryota; Metazoa; Arthropoda; Arachnida; Araneae; Araneidae
Exons: 2
Source: RefSeq, a predicted model, not a curated record